Molecule: signal recognition particle RNA, 296 nt
Filed under: Cebus imitator (Panamanian white-faced capuchin)
Lineage: Eukaryota; Metazoa; Chordata; Mammalia; Primates; Cebidae
Description: Metazoan signal recognition particle RNA (ENSCCAG00000005950.1)
Rfam family: Metazoan signal recognition particle RNA
About the family: The signal recognition particle (SRP) is a universally conserved ribonucleoprotein. It is involved in the co-translational targeting of proteins to membranes. The eukaryotic SRP consists of a 300-nucleotide 7S RNA and six proteins: SRPs 72, 68, 54, 19, 14, and 9.
Source: RNAcentral
GCCAGGCUCCGUGGUGCGUGCCUGUAGUCCUAGCUACUCGGGAGGCUGAAGUGGGAGGAUUGUUUGAGCCUAGGAGUUCUGGGCUGUAGUGCGCUAUGCCUAUCGGCGUCUGCACUAAGCUCGGCAUCAAUACGGUGACCUCCCGGGAUCGGGGGACCACCAGGUUGCCUAAGGAGGGGUGAACUGGCCCAGGUCAGAAGCAGAGCAGGUCAAAACUCCCUUGAUGAUCAGCAGUGGGAUCCCGCCUGUGAAUAGCCACUGCACUCCAGCCUGGGCAACAUAGCGAGACCCUGUCA